GAGGAUCUUCAGCCAGGAUGGUUUUUCUUCCUUCAGUGAGAUCUUUCGUCUAUUUGGCAAUGGAAGAAGAUUAGUAUUAGAGGAUACGUGUUGGAAAUGUGGUUUUUCAGGAGACCGAUGUCCAGUGUUUUUUUUUUUACAAUCAUUUCCAACCAUUUCAGAGCUGGGUCUGCCCCAUCAAAGAGCAAGCUCUGGACUGCAGAUCCUCAUUACGUUUUCAACGCUGUCCAGUACAUUAUAACUGUUUAAGAUAGACUGACUGCAAGCCCUAAAUUUAAAAGACUGUUAACAAAACGCCAAAUAAGAUGGGUGGAGAAGGAUGUAGACAAGAAUGUUACAAGGGAAACAAAAACGAUUUUUGCAUUUGAGUGAAACUACUGUGAUUUCUGAAGACCACCUCCCUUCUUUCCCAGACGGUCCCUGAGGAAUUACAGAAUGGUCGAGGCUUUGGUUAUGUGGUGGCCUUCCGGCCCUAUGGUAAAAUGAUCUGGAUGCUGACAGUGCUGGCCUCAGCUGACGCCUCUAGAUACGUGUUCAGGAAUGAGAGCGUGCACCCCUUCUCUCCCUUUGAGGUUAAAGUAGGUGUCUUCAACAACAAAGGAGAAGGCCCUUUCAGUCCCACCACAGUGGUGUAUUCUGCAGAAGAAGAACCCACCAAACCACCAGCCAGUAUCUUUGCCAGAAGUCUUUCUGCCACAGAUAUUGAAGUUUUCUGGGCCUCCCCACUGGAGAAGAAUAGAGGACGAAUACAAGGUUAUGAGGUUAAAUAUUGGAGACAUGAAGACAAAGAAGAAAAUGCUAGAAAAAUACGAACAGUUGGAAAUCAGACGUCAACAAAAAUCACGAACUUAAAAGGCAGUGUGCUGUAUCACUUAGCUGUCAAGGCAUAUAAUUCUGCUGGGACAGGGCCCUCUAGUGCAACAGUCAAUGUGACAACCCGAAAGCCACCACCAAGUCAACCCCCCGGAAACAUCAUAUGGAAUUCGUCAGACUCCAAAAUUAUCCUGAAUUGGGAUCAAGUGAAGGCCCUGGAUAAUGAGUCGGAAGUAAAAGGAUACAAAGUCUUGUACAGAUGGAACAGACAAAGCAGCACAUCUGUCAUUGAAACAAAUAAAACAUCGGUGGAGCUUUCUUUGCCUUUCGAUGAAGAUUAUAUAAUAGAAAUUAAGCCAUUCAGUGACGGAGGAGAUGGCAGCAGCAGUGAACAAAUUCGAAUUCCAAAGAUAUCAAAUGCCUACGCGAGAGGAUCUGGGGCUUCCACUUCGAAUGCAUGUGCGCUGUCAGCCAUCAGUACAAUAAUGAUUUCCCUCACAGCUAGGUCCAGUUUAUGACAAAAGUUAUCCGAAGGACUUGCUGUUUAUAAUAUAAGCAACAUUUAGCUAGUUGUUUUGAAGACACCCAGUACUAAGUAAUAUUGUUGUUCAAGUACAUCUUAUUACUGGAAUAAAAAUGUUUUUUGCUUCUUUAGGAAUGGCAUUAUACAGUACUUCCUCAAAGCAAAUCUAGCUUUGUCUGAAGUUUCUUUGGAAACUCUGCAAUGCACUGAAGACAUCUGUAAUAUGAUGUUACCAAAGCAGUUUACAUAUGUCCUUAUAUGCAUAUUUUUUAUUAUAUAUUUAGUGUUUUAUAGAAUUUUUUAAAGUUAACAUAUAAUGUAGAUAUUAAUUUUUUCCUCGGCUGUAAAAUGCUAUGGGCAACACAAUCAUGCAAUUAUAAUUUGAAAAUAUUUCCUUUAAAGACAGAGUUUGAAACUCAUCUUGGUGAAUAAAUUGCAAAUUACUCGUACAGUUUUACAAGGAUCUCAUGGCAGAACAGCGGAAGACUUGGUCCGUAACUCAAGGCUGUUGUAUGCAAACUACUCUUCUAGUGGUUAAUGCACUUGACAUGUACAGUAUGUUUCCCAUGCCGUUGUGAUUUUGACAUGUACAGUAUGUUUUCAUGCCGUUGUGAAUUUUGUUGUUCAACCCAACUUGAGAUGGUUUCAGGAAUGGCUGCAAUCUCAAAAGCUCAAUGUACUGCCCAUGAGGCACCUUGUGCAAUAUUCCCAUCCCUGAAUUUAGCAUUGUACAGGAAGAUUUUCUUUUCACUCAACUAAGUUAGCAUUGUCUUUGUGGUAGCAUUAUCUUAGACAUUAAAUUUGAAGUAACAUAUAUCCUGUAGUAACAUAGACCCAAAGUUACUAUAGUCAACCAAGUCUUUCAAAGGAUAAAAGAUCAUUUUAUUAUCUUUAACUGUAUCUAUUUUGAAUGUAAAUUUAAAAAAAGUAAUUCUCUGUCAAUGGAUUCAUAAUUUCUUUACAAAAUUUCUUAUAUAUAAUAUGUGUAUCUCUGUAAUAAUAGAGCCCUUCUUUUGAAUCAAAAUUACAUAUGGAGUUUGGAAGAUUGCUCCUAUUUCAACAAAUAGUUGCUGCAAGAAUUUUUAAUAUGACUCUAUAAAAGAUCUUUAGUACAAUUGUAUGGUUUCUUGAUGAUUCUGUUUUGCAAUAGGUAGCCUAGUUGCUUUGUAUGCUUUACCUUCUAAGUCUUAAAAUCACACAUUGGAAAAUGACAAUAUCAACAAAACUGUAUUCUUAUGAAAAGAACUAUUUGUUACAAUGGGAAAGGUUUUGUAAGCAAACCCUAGUGGAACAGUGACAUAAAAGGCAAUGAAAUUUUCUAUAAACAUUUUCUCAUGUAAACAUGCUGCCACCUUUUCUUCUUUCUCAGAGAACUCAAAUUUGCUGUAAUUUGUCAUUUUUGCUUACAAAUAAUAUAACUUUUCAGCCUUCUAGUUAUAUUUAUCCAAUAAAGUCAUAAUCGGGAUUCCAUUUGUGUAAAAACUAGGGUGGUAACCGGAAAAAAAAUAUUGUCAGUAUUUCAAGCUGUGUUCCUUUCUUAGUUUGAUAUGGUUACUUCUAUGUUAAAAUAAAAUUUAAAAUCACAUGCAAAAAAAAAUCAACAAAAUAAUAAAAUGAAUGAAAAAAAUGACACCCAGGGAGUUCCCAACCCCAGUGUAAAUGAUAUUUAUCAGUGAUCUAGCAUAUGUAAUCUUUUUUAAAGGUAUUGUUAAUAAAUAUUCUGUCAUU
This 3064-nucleotide small RNA is filed under the name Pan troglodytes (chimpanzee). Its description in RNAcentral is "retained intron". Lineage: Eukaryota; Metazoa; Chordata; Mammalia; Primates; Hominidae. The record is from RNAcentral.